This 454-nucleotide ribosomal RNA is filed under the name uncultured bacterium. RNAcentral's name for it is "partial 16S ribosomal RNA". It matches the Rfam family "Bacterial small subunit ribosomal RNA", at positions 28 to 507 of the family's 1533-position model. The record is from RNAcentral.
GAUGAACGCUGACAGAAUGCUUAACACAUGCAAGUCUACUUGAACUUCGGUUUGGGUGGCGGACGGGUGAGUAACGCGUAAAGAACUUGCCUCACAGUUAGGGACAACAUUUGGAAACGAAUGCUAAUACCUGAUAUUAUGAUUUUAGGGCAUCCUAAAAUUAUGAAAGCUAUAUGCGCUGUGAGAGAGCUUUGCGUCCCAUUAGCUAGUUGGAGAGGUAACGGCUCACCAAGGCGAUGAUGGGUAGCCGGCCUGAGAGGGUGAACGGCCACAAGGGGACUGAGGAACGGCCCGUACUCCUACGGGAGGCAACAGUGGGGAAUAUUGGACAAGGGACCAAAAGUCUGAUCCAGCAAUUCUGUGUGGACGAUGGCGUUUUUCGGAAUGUAAAGUGGUUUCAGUUGGGGAAGAAAAAAUGACGGUACCAACAGAAGAAGUGACGGCUAAAUACGUG